RNAcentral lists this ribosomal RNA (387 nucleotides) under uncultured Archaeospora. Its description in RNAcentral is "SSU rRNA". It matches the Rfam family "Eukaryotic small subunit ribosomal RNA", at positions 569 to 963 of the family's 1831-position model. The record is from RNAcentral. Lineage: Eukaryota; Fungi; Glomeromycota; Glomeromycetes; Archaeosporales; Archaeosporaceae.
AGCAGCCGCGGUAAUUCCAGCUCCAAUAGCGUAUAUUAAAGUUGUUGCAGUUAAAAAGCUCGUAGUUGAGUUUUAGGCCUGACCGGGCGGUCCGUCUCUGGCGAGUACUGUUCUGUUGUCGGGUCUAUCCUUCUGGUGAGCCGGUAUGUCCUUUGUUGGGUGUGUCGGGGAACCAGGACCAUUACCUUGAAAAAUUAGAGUGUUUAAAGCGGGCUUUUGCUUGAAUAGAUUAGCAUGGAAUAAUAGAAUAGGACGUUGGUUCUAUUUUGUUGGUCUAGGACCACCGUAAUGAUUAAUAGGGAUAGUUGGGGCAUUAGUAUUUCAAUUGUCAGAGGUGAAAUUCUUGGAUUUAUUGAAGACUAACUACUGCGAAAGCAUUUGCCAAGG